CCCUUAGACGUUCUGGGCCGCACGCGCGCUACACUGACGAAGGCAACGAGCUUUCCUUUACCGAAAGGUACGGGUAAUCUUUUGAAACUUCGUCGUGCUGGGGAUAGAUCCUUGCAAUUUUUGAUCUUAAACGAGGAAUUCCUAGUAAGCGAAAGUCAUCAACUUGCGUUGAUUACGUCCCUGCCCUUUGUACACACCGCCCGUCGCUACUACCGAUUGAAUGGUUUAGUGAGGCCUUCGGAUCCGCGACUCGUUUUGUGGAGAAGUUGGACAAACUCAGUCAUUUAGAGGAAGUAAAAGUCGUAACA
RNAcentral lists this ribosomal RNA (308 nucleotides) under uncultured eukaryote. RNAcentral describes it as "partial 18S ribosomal RNA". It matches the Rfam family "Eukaryotic small subunit ribosomal RNA", at positions 1470 to 1796 of the family's 1831-position model. The record is from RNAcentral.